RNAcentral lists this microRNA precursor (59 nucleotides) under Echinops telfairi (small Madagascar hedgehog). Its description in RNAcentral is "Ete-Mir-26-P4_pre stem-loop". The record is from RNAcentral. Lineage: Eukaryota; Metazoa; Chordata; Mammalia; Afrosoricida; Tenrecidae.
UUCAAGUAAUCCAGGAUAGGCUGUUUCCAUCGGGAGGCCUGUUCUUGAUUACUUGUUUC